Hydatigera taeniaeformis is the source of this 73-nucleotide non-coding RNA. NCBI's taxonomy places the organism in Eukaryota, Metazoa, Platyhelminthes, Cestoda, Cyclophyllidea, Taeniidae. The record is from Rfam.
AUCCCUGUGGCCUAAUGGAUAAGGCGUGGGUUUCCGGAGCCGAAGACUGUGGGUUCGAGUUCAGCUCGGGAUG